UACGUAGGGUGCGAGCGUUGUCCGGAAUUAUUGGGCGUAAAGGGCUCGUAGGCGGUUUGUCGCGUCGGGAGUGAAAUCCACUGGCUUAACUGGUGGCUUGCUUUCGAUACGGGCAGACUGGAGGUAUGCAGGGGGAGAACGGAAUUCCUGGUGUAGCGGUGAAAUGCGCAGAUAUCAGGAGGAACACCGGUGGCGAAGGCGGUUCUCUGGGCAUGUCCUGACGCUGGAGGAGCGAAGUGUGGGGAGCGAACAGGA
Molecule: ribosomal RNA, 255 nt
Filed under: uncultured bacterium
Lineage: Bacteria
Description: partial 16S ribosomal RNA
Rfam family: Bacterial small subunit ribosomal RNA
Source: RNAcentral